RNAcentral lists this ribosomal RNA (448 nucleotides) under uncultured Leptolinea sp. Its description in RNAcentral is "bacterial SSU rRNA". It matches the Rfam family "Bacterial small subunit ribosomal RNA", at positions 925 to 1382 of the family's 1533-position model. Lineage: Bacteria; Bacillati; Chloroflexota; Anaerolineae; Anaerolineales; Anaerolineaceae. The record is from RNAcentral.
ACAAGCGGUGGAGCAUGUGGUUUAAUUCGAUGAUACGCGAAGAACCUUUACCGGGGUUUGACAGUGCAGGUGAUCGCCGUUGAAAGACCGGUUUCCUCUUCGGAGGCACCUGCACAGGUGCUGCAUUGGCUGUCGUCAGCUCGUGUCGUGAGAUGUUCGGUUAAGUCCGCUAACGAGCGCAACCCUCGCUGUGUGUUAUAUGUGUCACACGGGACUGCCGGUCUUAAGCCGGAGGAAGGUGGGGAUGAUGUCAAGUCAGCAUGGCCUUUAUAUCCUGGGCUACACACACGCUACAAUGGCCAACACAAUAGGUUGCUAAGCCGCGAGGUGGCGCCAAUCCAUAAAGUUGGUCUCAGUUCAGAUUGUAGGCUGCAACCCGCCUGCAUGAAGAUGGAGUUGCUAGUAACCGCAGGUCAGCUAUACUGCGGUGAAUACGUUCCCGGGGCUU